RNAcentral lists this non-coding RNA (31 nucleotides) under Homo sapiens (human). Lineage: Eukaryota; Metazoa; Chordata; Mammalia; Primates; Hominidae. The record is from RNAcentral.
CGGCUACCUAAGAGGGAAGGGCCCCCUGUGC